UAAGUGGGAAACGAUGUGGGAAGGCCCAGACAGCCAGGAUGUUGGCUUAGAAGCAGCCAUCAUUUAAAGAAAGCGUAAUAGCUCACUGGUCGAGUCGGCCUGCGCGGAAGAUGUAACGGGGCUAAACCAUGCACCGAAGCUGCGGCAGCGACACUAUGUGUUGUUGGGUAGGGGAGCGUUCUGUAAGCCUGUGAAGGUGUGCUGUGAGGCAUGCUGGAGGUAUCAGAAGUGCGAAUGCUGACAUAAGUAACGAUAAAGCGGGUGAAAAGCCCGCUCGCCGGAAGACCAAGGGUUCCUGUCCAACGUUAAUCGGGGCAGGGUGAGUCGACCCCUAAGGC
RNAcentral lists this ribosomal RNA (338 nucleotides) under Klebsiella quasivariicola. RNAcentral describes it as "partial 23S ribosomal RNA". It matches the Rfam family "Bacterial large subunit ribosomal RNA", at positions 1060 to 1397 of the family's 2925-position model. Lineage: Bacteria; Pseudomonadati; Pseudomonadota; Gammaproteobacteria; Enterobacterales; Enterobacteriaceae. The record is from RNAcentral.